This 1986-nucleotide long non-coding RNA is filed under the name Homo sapiens (human). RNAcentral describes it as "non-protein coding NNT-AS1:18". The record is from RNAcentral. Lineage: Eukaryota; Metazoa; Chordata; Mammalia; Primates; Hominidae.
AGCUUUCUUCCCGCCAGGCCCCCUCCACCCGAUCGCCGCGCGCUCUCCGAACCAAAAGGCGACCUCACGAAAUGCCCCUUUGAGCUCAAAGGCUAGUUACCCCCAGGGGCCCUUCCACUCUCGGGGACAGGCGAAACCUCUUUGUCUCUGCCUCGGCCUGCGGCCCCCAGCCCAGCCUCCGCGCUUUCCCUCCGCCAGUCCUUGUCAAUCAAACCUGGUGCCAAACGCGGCAGCUGAAGUUUUCAGGGACACAUUUGCUUCUCCCCUUGAAGAACCAGUUACAAAGCGUGAUGUCCUCUCUGGGGUCCCAUCAGAACAAAGAAACAGGUCUAAAGACCCUCAUUCCAGAGAGCAUCCUGCCCCAUAUCCAGAAUGAAAUCCAUGCUCAGAGAUGCCAAGAAGAAUCUAGACAGACAGGCCUUUCUAGGAUCUGUGGGAACAUCUAAAGACCCUGUAAGAAACAUAGAAAACCCUCUCCCUCCCCCUCCCCCUCCCCCUCCCCCUCUCCCGAGCCGAAGCUGGACUGUACUGCUGCCAUCUCGGCUCACUGCAACCUCCCUGCCUGAUUCUCCUGCCUCAGCCUGCCCAGUGCCUGCAAUUGCAGGCGCGCGACGCCACGCCUCACUGGUUUUCGUAUUUUUUUGGUGGAGACGGGGUUUCGCUGUGUUGGCCGGGCUGGUCUCCAGCUCCUAGCCACGAGUGAUCCGCCAGCCUCGGCCUCCCGGGGUGCCGGGAUUGCAGACGGAGUCUGGUUCACUCAGUGCUCAAUGGUGCCCAGGCUGGAGUGCAGUGGCGUGAUCUCGGCUCGCUACAACCUCCACCUCCCAGCCGCCUGCCUUGGCCUCCCAAAGUGCCGAGAUUGCAGCCUCUGCCCGGCCGCCACCCCGUCUGGGAAGUGAGGAGCGUCUCUGCCUGGCCGCCCAUCGCCUGGGACGUGAGGAGCCCCUCUGCCUGGCUGCCCAGUCUGGAAAGUGAGGAGCAUCUCUGCCCGGCCGCCAUCCCAUCUAGGAAGUGACGAGCGCCUCUUCCCGGUCGCCAUCCCAUCUAGGAAGUGAGGAGCGUCUCUGCCCGGCCGCCCAUUGUCUGAGAUGUGGGGAGAGCCUCUGCCCCGCCGCCCCGCCUGGGAUGUGAGGAGCGCCUCUACCCGGCCGCGACCCUGUCUGGGAGGUGAGGAGCGUCUCUGCCCGGCCGCCCCGUCUGAGAAGUGAGGAGACCCUCCGCCUGGCAACCGCCCGUCUGAGAAGUGAGGAGCCCCUCCGCCCGGCAGUCACCCCGUCUGGGAAGUGAGGAGCGUCUCCGCCCAGCAGCCACCCCGUCCGGGAGGGAGGUGGGGGUCAGCCCCCGCCAGGCCAGCUGCCCCGUCCGGGAGGGAGGUGGGGGGGUCAGCCCCCCGCCCGGCCAGCCGCCCCGUCCGGGAGGUGAGGGGCGCCUCUGCCCAGCCGCCCCUACUGGGAAGUGAGGAGCCCCUCUGCCCGGCCACCACCCCGUCUGGGAGGUGUACCCAACAGCUCAUUGAGAACGGGCCAUGAUGACAAUGGCGGUUUUGUGGAAUAGAAAGGGGGGAAAGGUGAGGAAAAGAUUGAGAAAUCGGAUGGUUGCUGUGUCUGCGUAGAAAGAGGUAGACAUGGGAGACUUUUCAUUUUGUUCUGUACUAAGAAAAAUUCUUAUCCUGUUGAUCUGUGACCUUACCCCCAACCCUGUGCUCUCUGAAUCAUGUGCUGUGUCCACUCAGGGUUAAAUGGAUUAAGGGCGGUGCAAGAUGUGCUUUGUUAAACAGAUGCUUGAAGGCAGCAUGCUCGUUAAGAGUCAUCACCACUCCCUAAUCUCAAGUACCCAGGGACACAAACACUGCGGAAGGCCGCAGGGUCCUCUGCCUAGGAAAACCAGAGACCUUUGUUCACUUGUUUAUCUGCUGACCUUCCCUCCACUAUUGUCCUAUGACCCUGCCAAAUCCCCCUCUGCGAGAAACACCCAAGAAUAAUCAAU